CUGCUGCCUUCCGUAGGAGUUUGGUCCGUGUCUCAGUACCAAUGUGGGGGGUUGACCUCUCAGUCCCCCUAUGUAUCGUCGCCUUGGUGAGCCGUUACCUCACCAACUAGCUAAUACAACGCAUGUCCAUCUCUAACCACCUGAGUUUUCAACCACCGAAGAUGCCUCCGGUGAUGUUAUGGGGUAUUAGUACCAAUUUCUCGAUGUUAUCCCCCUGUCAAAGGUAGGUUACAUACGCGUUACGCACCCGUCCGCCGGUCGCCGGCAUAAG
This 271-nucleotide ribosomal RNA is filed under the name uncultured bacterium. Its description in RNAcentral is "partial 16S ribosomal RNA". The record is from RNAcentral.